AAUAUUGGACAAUGGGCGAAAGCCUGAUCCAGCCAUGCCGCGCGUGUGAAGAAGGUCUUCGGAUUGUAAAUCACUUUAAGUUGGGAGGAAGGGUUGUAGUUUAAUACCCUGCAAUUUUGACGUUACCAACAGAAUAAGCACCGGCUAACUUCGCGCCAGCAGCCGCGGUAAUACGAAGGUUGCAAGCGUUAAUCGGAAUUACUGGGCGUAAAGCGCGCGUAGGAGGUUCGUUAAGAUGGAAGUGAAAGCCCCGGGCAUAACCUGGGAAUUGCUUUCAAAGCUGACGAGCUAGAGUACGGUAGAGGAUAGUGGAAUUUCCUGUGUAGCAGUGAAAUGCGUAGAUAUAGGAAGGAACGUCAGUGGCGAAGGCGACUACCUGGACUGAUACUGACACUGAGGUGCGAAAGCGUGGGGAGCAAACAGG
RNAcentral lists this ribosomal RNA (424 nucleotides) under uncultured bacterium. RNAcentral describes it as "partial 16S ribosomal RNA". It matches the Rfam family "Bacterial small subunit ribosomal RNA", at positions 360 to 776 of the family's 1533-position model. The record is from RNAcentral.